GAUGAAGAACGUAGCGAAAUGCGAUAAGUAAUGCGAAUUGCAGAAUUUCCGUGAGUCAUCGAAUCUUUGAACGCACAUUGCGCCCGCCAGCAUUCUGGCGGGCAUGCCUGUUCGAGCGUCAUUUCAACCCUCAAGCUCUGCUUGGUGUUGGGGCCCUACGGUUGACGUAGGCCCUUAAAGGUAGUGGCGGACCCUCUCGGAGCCUCCUUUGCGUAGUAACUAACGUCUCGCACUGGGAUUCGGAGGGACUCUUGCCGUAAAACCCCCAAAUUUUUAAAGGUUGACCUCGGAUCAGGUAGGAAUACCCGCUGAACUUAAGCAUAUCAAUAAGCGGAGGA
RNAcentral lists this unclassified non-coding RNA (338 nucleotides) under soil metagenome. RNAcentral describes it as "partial contains 5.8S ribosomal RNA, internal transcribed spacer 2, and large subunit ribosomal RNA". The stretch from base 1 to 121 matches the Rfam family "5.8S ribosomal RNA", at positions 35 to 154 of the family's 154-position model. The record is from RNAcentral.